This 546-nucleotide small RNA is filed under the name Pan troglodytes (chimpanzee). RNAcentral's name for it is "retained intron". The record is from RNAcentral. Lineage: Eukaryota; Metazoa; Chordata; Mammalia; Primates; Hominidae.
GAUGUAUUAUUAUGCAGUAUAUAACUUCUGUGUACUUUUGAUGUUUUACACAAGGAAAAUCCUUUCCAUGUGUGGAUGACCUUUUAUUUCUUAAUUGUUAAAUAUAGAUAAUUAGGAAAGUUGAUAAGCAGACCGCAUUAUUGGAUGCAGAUGAUCCUGUGUCACAACUCCAUAAAUGUGCAUUUUACCUUAAGGAUACAGAAAGAAUGUAUUUGUGCCUUUCUCAAGAAAGAAUAAUUCAAUUUCAGGCCACUCCAUGUCCAAAAGAACCAAAUAAAGAGAUGAUAAAUGAUGGCGCUUCCUGGACAAUCAUUAGCACAGAUAAGGCAGAGUAUACAUUUUAUGAGGGAAUGGGCCCUGUCCUUGCCCCAGUCACGCCUGUGCCUGUGGUAGAGAGCCUUCAGGUGAGAACGCCUAGUCCAAGUUGGCCUUCAGCUCUUUGCAGCUACUCUCAGCUGUGACCUGGCAUCAUUUCAUUUCAUGGGAGUUUUGAUUUUUCUCCAAUCGUCUGAUUAGGGGAUUUUUAUAUACACCAUUUGUUGAUUU